UUGGCUUAGAAGCAGCCAUCAUUUAAAGAAAGCGUAAUAGCUCACUGGUCGAGUCGGCCUGCGCGGAAGAUGUAACGGGGCUAAACCAUGCACCGAAGCUGCGGCAGCGACACUGUGUGUUGUUGGGUAGGGGAGCGUUCUGUAAGCCUGCGAAGGUGGCCUGUGAGGGUUGCUGGAGGUAUCAGAAGUGCGAAUGCUGACAUAAGUAACGAUAAAGCGGGUGAAAAGCCCGCUCGCCGGAAGACCAAGGGUUCCUGUCCAACGUUAAUCGGGGCAGGGUGAGUCGACCCCUAAGGCGAGGCCGAAAGGCGUAGUCGAUGGGAAACGGGUUAAUAUUCCCGUACUUGGUGUUACUGCGAAGGGGGGACGGAGAAGGCUAUGUUGGCCGGGCGACGGUUGUCCCGGUUUAAGCGUGUAGGUGUGUGUUCCAGGUAAAUCCGGUUCACUUUAACACUGAGGCGUGACGACGAGGCACUACGGUGCUGAAGCAACAAAUGCCCUGCUUCCAGGAAAAGCCUCUAAGCAUCAGGUAACAUCAAAUCGUACCCCAAACCGACACAGGUGGUCAGGUAGAGAAUACCAAGGCGCUUGAGAGAACUCGGGUGAAGGAACUAGGCAAAAUGGUGCCGUAACUUCGGGAGAAGGCACGCUGACACGUAGGUGAAGUGAUUUACUCAUGGAGCUGAAGUCAGUCGAAGAUACCAGCUGGCUGCAACUGUUUAUUAAAAACACAGCACUGUGCAAACACGAAAGUGGACGUAUACGGUGUGACGCCUGCCCGGUGCCGGAAGGUUAAUUGAUGGGGUCAGCGCAAGCGAAGCUCCUGAUCGAAGCCCCGGUAAACGGCGGCCGUAACUAUAACGGUCCUAAGGUAGCGAAAUUCCUUGUCGGGUAAGUUCCGACCUGCACGAAUGGCGUAAUGAUGGCCAGGCUGUCUCCACCCGAGACUCAGUGAAAUUGAACUCGCUGUGAAGAUGCAGUGUACCCGCGGCAAGACGGAAAGACCCCGUGAACCUUUACUAUAGCUUGACACUGAACAUUGAGCCUUGAUGUGUAGGAUAGGUGGGAGGCUUUGAAGUGUGGACGCCAGUCUGCAUGGAGCCGACCUUGAAAUACCACCCUUUAAUGUUUGAUGUUCUAACGUGGACCCGUUACCCGGGUUGCGGACAGUGUCUGGUGGGUAGUUUGACUGGGGCGGUCUCCUCCUAAAGAGUAACGGAGGAGCACGAAGGUUGGCUAAUCCUGGUCGGACAUCAGGAGGUUAGUGCAAUGGCAUAAGCCAGCUUGACUGCGAGCGUGACGGCGCGAGCAGGUGCGAAAGCAGGUCAUAGUGAUCCGGUGGUUCUGAAUGGAAGGGCCAUCGCUCAACGGAUAAAAGGUACUCCGGGGAUAACAGGCUGAUACCGCCCAAGAGUUCAUAUCGACGGCGGUGUUUGGCACCUCGAUGUCGGCUCAUCACAUCCUGGGGCUGAAGUAGGUCCCAAGGGUAUGGCUGUUCGCCAUUUAAAGUGGUACGCGAGCUGGGUUUAGAACGUCGUGAGACAGUUCGGUCCCUAUCUGCCGUGGGCGCUGGAGAACUGAGGGGGGCUGCUCCUAGUACGAGAGGACCGGAGUGGACGCAUCACUGGUGUUCGGGUUGUCAUGCCAAUGGCACUGCCCGGUAGCUAAAUGCGGAAGAGAUAAGUGCUGAAAGCAUCUAAGCACGAAACUUGCCCCGAG
This 1719-nucleotide ribosomal RNA is filed under the name Salmonella enterica. Its description in RNAcentral is "partial 23S ribosomal RNA". It matches the Rfam family "Bacterial large subunit ribosomal RNA", at positions 1101 to 2803 of the family's 2925-position model. The record is from RNAcentral. Lineage: Bacteria; Pseudomonadati; Pseudomonadota; Gammaproteobacteria; Enterobacterales; Enterobacteriaceae.